Molecule: ribosomal RNA, 253 nt
Filed under: uncultured bacterium
Lineage: Bacteria
Description: partial 16S ribosomal RNA
Rfam family: Bacterial small subunit ribosomal RNA
Source: RNAcentral
UACGUAGGGUCCGAGCGUUGUCCGGAAUUAUUGGGCGUAAAGGGCUCGUAGGCGGUUUGUCGCGUCGGGAGUGAAAACACGGGGCUUAACCCCGUGCCUGCUUCCGAUACGGGCAGACUAGAGGUAUGCAGGGGAGAACGGAAUUCCUGGUGUAGCGGUGAAAUGCGCAGAUAUCAGGAGGAACACCGGUGGCGAAGGCGGUUCUCUGGGCAUUACCUGACGCUGAGGAGCGAAAGUGUGGGGAGCGAACAUG